UUCGUCAACAUUGAAAGCGUUGGAUACCCAAUUAUAUUUUUUCUAUAAAUUCUUGACGGUUUUAUACCGUACCGUGUUCUUACUAUGAUUCUCUUCUACUUUAUAAUGGCGUGAUUCUGAUUUUGGUUACUGAAGCCCAAUGAAUCAAUAAUUCAUUCUUAAAAGACUUUUACACUUAAAAGAAGCAAUUGUUCCUUGGAUUUAAGGUUAAAAAUUUUUUGCUACUUUUCAUUACUAUUUAAAGUAAGGAGAACAAUUAAGAUUGGUGAAGUUUAGUUUUCUUGUGUGCAUUUGUUUUGUUGACUUUUUAAAGAUAUUCUUUUGGUUGGCCAUUCCUGUAUCCUAUUGCAAACUCUUUCAGAUUGAAUCAAAAGCCCACCGACUUGUCAAACUGCAAACGUAUCGUCGAAGACGUCUUUUAAAAGAAUGAGUAUUUUGCAUCUUACAUGUUAAAACAAAAAAUAAUAUAGUUUUUAGACAAGCUGUUAUCAACAGUUGCUGAAAGCAAUGAUAAAGAUUUAUCUGUGAUUUAAGGAAGCUGACAUAGGCUAUGAAAAUAAACUUUUGAAAAUUGUAGAAUGAAGAACUGGAAAAGAAGACGGAAUGGUGGCUUCAGUGUUGCUGCACAUUCACCUUUGGAUAUUAUUCGAAGAGCUUGCAUUUACUAGGAUCCGGUGGUAGAAUUUGUUCACGAGAUGAAGAUGUUCCCAAUUCUCACUCUGUCAUGUGAGAUCGCUAGGCGCUUGACACUAAGAAAGUAAGGUAAUAAAUACCAUUGGUUACGACUACAUAUUACUUUUUUCUUCUACACUUAUCAACUGUCACAUAUCAAUCUGUCACACGGGAUGAGGAUCUGGCCCGUGACACUAAGAAAGAUUGUGGACUGCACUUUUUAUUUAUCGUAAUUUUUUAUCGGGAUGAUUGUUGGUGCUGUGCGCCAAUUUCUUUAACUUGAAAUAUUUGAAAUAUUUUCAAAAAAGCCGACUGUCCUUCAAACGUUUCGAAAUGGACAAAAAUUUCUUCAUUCACCGAAGAAAGAGAAACGAGUCAAAUGACUCAAAUGUCAAUUAUUGCAGGCUCAUCCCCAACAACGUCAACCUGCAGAAGGAAAGGCAAGUUUGCAUGUCCUUCACGUUCGAAGGUCACGGAGAUCAUUACGUAGAACUUGUCAUGCAGUGGGUUAGAGGUUGGGUGAGAACGGUAUGUGGUACAUAACCAUUUUGUAUUCAUUUUUAUAUUGGUUGUUGUAGACCCAUUCUCCAGAUGUAUUCCAACGUCAACUUACAAAUGGCCUUCAUACUCGAUUACUCGAAGGUCACGCAUAUCAUGACGUAAAACGUGUCACACAAUGGUGUAGAGGGUGGGUGAGAAAGGAACAUGAUUCAUCAUUGUCAAGCAGGUACAAUAGCCGAAGGGUUAAGAGGUUAGGGUGAGAAAAAAAAAAUCGUACAAAAGGAGAGAGAAAAGGCGAUAAAAAUCAGUCGAGUGAAAAUCUCCGACGCGGUAACAACUGCAGCGCACUAUUGUUACCAACUUCUUUCUUCAUCGUAUUAUCAGUUCGAAAUCAUGGGUGUAUAUUCUGUUGUUUUUUCACAUAGUUUUGUUUUAAUGCUACUAUUGAAUAGUUGUUAAUAUGCGAGUUAUUGUUGAAUUUUAAUGUUUAAAUUUAUUAAUUGUCCUGGUUAUCUAUGGCGUCGUCCUGCUGUUGGGUGUUGUGGUGUGUACCGAUGUCUCCUUGGGAUGGUGGAUAACAAACCACUGCGCCGCUGCCUAAUUACACAACAACGACAUACGAAACAGCCGGUUGUUUCAUUACCAAGGCUCCAGAGUUUAAACUAUAACUUGUGAUGCCCCAAGCUACUACACCGACGCCCCAAGCUACAUUACCAAAGAGACUGAGUACUACACCAAGGCGCCCAAUUGCUACACCUCUAUGGCACCGCAAUACUACACGAUUACGUAUGCUGCCCAAUCCUACUACUACACCGAGGCUCCCAAGUACUACUCUGUUCACAGCUACUCCACCGAGGAUUCGGCUCAUUACUCCACCAAAACGGUUGAAUACUACACCGGAGCUUCCAAGAACUACUCUGCCCCGAUUUACACAACCACAACUGAUGCGCCCAAGUAUUACGCAGCCCCGACUUACUACACAGAAGCUGCUCCUUCGAACUACGUUGAACACAAAUACUACACAGAUGUUCCAGUUAACUACACCACAACCUACGCUACAUGUCGCAGCUCCCGUUUUCACGCCUUUUUGUUGACUCAUUUCUAACACUGGAUAUUUAGUUGAAGGAAAAUGCGAAUGUCCCUGAAUACGAUGUUGUUUUGGGACUUGCUUUCCGACUCGGACACUUAUGCGUCGGCUUCAUCGCUUUCGCUUAUCGACCGAUAGGUACUUGGACAAUGCUACCAGAUUGGACGCCUUCAGCGACAGACUGUAAGGAGACCGACUCUACGCCGUAACAAGGUAAUAUUUUACUCCACCCUCCCGAGAUUUGAAUUUUGAAGAAAGCAAUCCGGGUGAGAAAAAUCGCAUAAAACGAGAGAAAAGACGACAGAAGAAAAGACAGUCGAUCGAGCAUCUCCGACACGGCAACAACAGCAGCGCUUUAAUUGUCACCAACUGCGUUCUUCGUCGUAUUAAAAAAGUUCUCAAUCAUGGACCCAUUCCAAUCCCCGGCAAUGUCAACCUGUAGAAGGAAAGGACAGUAUGCAUUCUUCACGCUCGAAGGUCACGGAGAUUAAUACGUAAAUGCAAUGGUGUAGAGGUUGGGCGAGAACUGGACGUGCUGCAUCAUUGUCAGGCAGGACUUGGUGAUAAUGUGAUGCAUCUGACUUGGUGACAAUGAUGUACCAUCCUGCUGCAUGCAGUCAUGUCGAAGCUAGACUUUAAGUAGAGCUGCAAAAAUAUUCAUAGAAAUGAAUGGUGAAAAUGUUCAGCGGUUUCGUAGUCUGGUUCCUAUUCUAAUUUUUAUCCUUGCACUGGUGUCCUUGCAGUAACUGAAGCUGGUGUCCUUCCAGUAACUAAUGCUGGUGUCAUCCUGAUGUUGCAGUGAAAUUCAUGUUGAUAACAAUAUUUUUAUCUGUAUUUGUGUUUCAUCCUGUGUAUGUGAUUGAAGAUACCGAUGCGUUUUUACUCUCCGAUAUAAUAUGUUGCAACAAACGUUAAAACUGGUCAUUCUAUAUGAUGUAAUUACCUCAACCCUAAUUAGGCCAGUUAGUUAUUAAAUGUAUAACAAAGUCAAACCUGCAAUGUUUUGUUAUGCUUGUAAAUUUAUUAUUGAAAUCAGUUUUGCAUAAUGUUAAAUGUUGCAACAAAUACAAAAACGCCGA
Molecule: long non-coding RNA, 3339 nt
Filed under: Daphnia pulicaria
Lineage: Eukaryota; Metazoa; Arthropoda; Branchiopoda; Diplostraca; Daphniidae
Description: uncharacterized LOC124350247, transcript variant X5
Source: RNAcentral